RNAcentral lists this long non-coding RNA (766 nucleotides) under Canis lupus familiaris (dog). Its description in RNAcentral is "lncRNA (ENSCAFG00000051406.1)". Lineage: Eukaryota; Metazoa; Chordata; Mammalia; Carnivora; Canidae. The record is from RNAcentral.
CUCUGUUAUAAUGGAUUUCAGCGCAAGACAUUUAGCAUUUCUGAAGUGGCUGCUUCUUCCCAGACAAUGCAUCUAGUCAAACUCCUCUUUUGCUGCUGAUGAAAUUCACCAAAAAGACUACGUGUGCAUCAGCUAACAGACUCUCAGGCUGGCCCUUUACCUCUGCUGCUCAUAGCAAAUUGAAAAACCAAAAACCAGAAACCAAAAAACCUGACAUGGAAAAACAUCCAAUUUUGCCAGAGAAAGAUUUGGUGGGCUCCUGGGCACCAUCAGAACUGGUAAAGCCAAAUGACUCUCAAAGCAUGUUGAAAGAAGGAGCCAGCCUAUUCUUCAGGUUAUAUCAACUAGAAAGAUGUCAACAAGAUAUAGAGAAAAUUAAUUCAUGGAUGACUUUAAAAAUAAGGCAAUGACUAUAGGUUGGACUUGGAUACAGUUGAACACAACGAUCAGAUUGUAUUUACCUUUGUAUCCCAGGAUGUAACACAACACCUGGUAUGUAACAUUUGUUUGAUAAGUAAACAUCUGUCAAAAGAAGAAAACAUGGGUGGUCUAACUGUGGCCCGUUAGACCAAAUCUAGCCUUUUCUUAUUUUGCACAGUCCCUGAACAUGUUCAUGUACUGACAUAAUGUCUAUGGCUACUUUCAUGCUACAAGGCUUCUUGUCCUGCAAAGCUAAAACAAAUUACUAUCUGGCUCUUUAUAAAAAUGUUUUCUAGUGUCUGUGUAGGACGGUGCUUGAAAAAAUGAAAAAAAAAAAAACUAGUCA